Ursus americanus (American black bear) is the source of this 1709-nucleotide long non-coding RNA. Lineage: Eukaryota; Metazoa; Chordata; Mammalia; Carnivora; Ursidae. The record is from Ensembl.
GGUCUUUGUGACCAGAGAUCCCCAGCCCCGCCCUGGGGGACUCUGAGGCGGCCAAGUGCCUUCUUGGGCUGAUGCAACAAGGGCGGGGUUGAAGCGCUCCUCCCAGAAGUCCGCGGGGCUGGUCCCACACCCCAGACCUCCCUCCCCACCUCUGACACCCCACAGGUACACACUCGGGAGGGGCGGCCUCGCCACGUGGCCACUGAGAUUUCUGGAAUGGUUGUUACAUGGCACAGCCUCACCUGUCCUGACAGGUGCUUCUCAGAAGUAGUUAGCACAAGUAAACCUAAUAGAUGCAUUGCCUGUGUGCACUAAUACUUAAGGAAUAUCAGUCUGAAGAGGCUCCAAGAUGUUAGGCUGUGUAGAAGUGUCUGAUUUUAAGACACAAAAGGGCUCGGCAAGGAGACAGAGACAGGAACCGAAUCUCAGGGUAUGGGCAGCACAGAACGCCCCUGGCUCCCUGGGACACCUGCUGCUGGAAGACGGCUUCUCUCGAGGUGCUGGCCGUCUCCCUGGGAACUACCACACAUGGUCGCGGAGUGUGCCCACAGCACUUACAAAGCAGGGUGAGCAAAGCGAGAAUGGGUACCUUGCACAGCAGCCCCUGGAGGCAGGGACAGUCAGCGUCCAGGCCUAGAGGAUGGAAUGUCACAGCUUUAUUCCCGCAUUCCCUGGUAACUUGGGCUGCAAGGACAACUUGUUACUAACGUUUUCUGGGAGUGACUGUAUUGGUAAAAUCAUGAAAAUGCGGUGGGUUUCUUCCGGAAAUGUUUCCCCAGAACAGAAGCAUCUUCAACAUGCCCAGUUCACUGUAACUCCGAAGAAGAAAACCAGAUGUGUCUACUCUUUCCAGGGCCAAGAGGCAUAUGCUCCUUACAUCUCUCCUCAUAUUAGAAGUCCUUUCUUUGUCUUUGGAGAAGAGCGUCUAGAGACUUGAGCGUUCACAGAGAAGAACCGCGCACGGCUCUCGGCCGCCUGAAAAGACGUCCAGCCCCCGCGAGAGAAGCUAGCCAGGCGUAGGUGACAUUGCAACCAGGGCAGGCAUGGCCCCAGGUCCCAGCGGGAAGCUGCAGGCGCCUGGGGAAGGCCAGCCACGUGGGGGGGUGUUCAUUCUGCACAGACAGCACCCCCACUGGCUCCAAUCUACGCCCAGCCCCACUGGAGGCAUCCGGGAGUCUUUGACCCUCUUCUGCUUUCUUCACUGUGCCUUUUGACCUUGGUCUCCCCACCUGGAGUGUCCUUUCUCUUCUCUACCUGGUUAACUCCUGGUUAACUGAGCUGUCAGGACCUGGUUUGCAGGCCCUCGGCUCACCUACAGCCCUCCGCCGGCUGUAGCGGGAGCUGGGGAAGCCUCGAACUUGUGACCACAGGGGAGUCCACACGAACACGCCGGGGGUCCACGAUGGCGUAAAGGCACCGAAGGAGAGAAUGCAGCCGCCUUCAGCCGCCUGAUUCAGACUUGAGACAAUCAAAGGACUCAGUAUUCUUCUGACGGCAGUUUGGGCCAACGGCUGUUACUUUAGUUUGCCAUUUUAACAAAUAAGAAGAUGUUUUUAUUCCUCUUGGGAAGCAGCAACUCUCCUCUGACUCGGGCCCGUUCAUACUUUCCCUGAAGAGUAAGGAGUGUAUUUUUCUUUGACACACAUUUAUUUUUAAAAAGGGGUUAAGUACUGAAACUGUUGAGAUUUUCUUUCGGAACGGAAAUAAAA